GCGUGCGUAGCUCAGUUGGUAGAGCAACUGACUCUUAAUCAGUGGGUCCGGGGUUCGAACCCCCGCGCGCGUACCA
This 76-nucleotide transfer RNA is filed under the name Alphaproteobacteria bacterium. Its description in RNAcentral is "tRNA-Lys". It matches the Rfam family "tRNA". From Rfam's summary of the family: Transfer RNA (tRNA) molecules are approximately 80 nucleotides in length. Their secondary structure includes four short double-helical elements and three loops (D, anti-codon, and T loops). Further hydrogen bonds mediate the characteristic L-shaped molecular structure. tRNAs have two regions of fundamental functional importance: the anti-codon, which is responsible for specific mRNA codon recognition, and the 3' end, to which the tRNAs corresponding amino acid is attached (by aminoacyl-tRNA synthetases). tRNAs cope with the degeneracy of the genetic code in two manners: having more than one tRNA (with a specific anti-codon) for a particular amino acid; and 'wobble' base-pairing, i.e. permitting non-standard base-pairing at the 3rd anti-codon position. The record is from RNAcentral. Lineage: Bacteria; Pseudomonadati; Pseudomonadota; Alphaproteobacteria.